RNAcentral lists this transfer RNA (73 nucleotides) under Acidimicrobiia bacterium. Its description in RNAcentral is "tRNA-Lys". It matches the Rfam family "tRNA". Rfam says of the family: Transfer RNA (tRNA) molecules are approximately 80 nucleotides in length. Their secondary structure includes four short double-helical elements and three loops (D, anti-codon, and T loops). Further hydrogen bonds mediate the characteristic L-shaped molecular structure. tRNAs have two regions of fundamental functional importance: the anti-codon, which is responsible for specific mRNA codon recognition, and the 3' end, to which the tRNAs corresponding amino acid is attached (by aminoacyl-tRNA synthetases). tRNAs cope with the degeneracy of the genetic code in two manners: having more than one tRNA (with a specific anti-codon) for a particular amino acid; and 'wobble' base-pairing, i.e. permitting non-standard base-pairing at the 3rd anti-codon position. Lineage: Bacteria; Bacillati; Actinomycetota; Acidimicrobiia. The record is from RNAcentral. RNAcentral also lists the same sequence under 2 other names.
GGGUCCCUAGCUCAAUUGGCAGAGCAGCGGGCUUUUAACCCGAAGGUUGAGGGUUCGAUUCCCUCGGGACCCA